AGUGAACGCUGGCGGCAGGCCUAAUACAUGCAAGUCGAACGGCAGCACAGCAGAGCUUGCUCUGUGGGUGGCGAGUGGCGGACGGGUGAGGAAUACAUGGGAAUCUGCCCAGUCGUGGGGGAUAACGUAGGGAAACUUACGCUAAUACCGCAUGCGCCCUUCGGGGGAAAGCCGGGGACCUUCGGGCCUGGCGCGAUUGGAUGAGCCCAUGUCGGAUUAGCUAGUUGGCGGGGUAAUGGCCCACCAAGGCGACGAUCCGUAGCUGGUCUGAGAGGAUGAUCAGCCACACUGGAACUGAGACACGGUCCAGACUCCUACGGGAGGCAGCAGUAGGGAAUAUUGGACAAUGGGCGCAAGCCUGAUCCAGCCAUGCCGCGUGAGUGAAGAAGGCCCUCGGGUUGUAAAGCUCUUUUGUCCGGAAAGAAAAGACGCCGGGUUAAUACCCUAGUGUCCUGACGGUACCGGAAGAGUAAGCACCGGCUAACUUCGUGCCAGCAG
RNAcentral lists this ribosomal RNA (498 nucleotides) under uncultured bacterium. RNAcentral describes it as "bacterial SSU rRNA". It matches the Rfam family "Bacterial small subunit ribosomal RNA", at positions 29 to 514 of the family's 1533-position model. The record is from RNAcentral.